RNAcentral lists this long non-coding RNA (632 nucleotides) under Malus domestica (apple). Its description in RNAcentral is "long non-coding RNA (MDOM_LNC015144)". Lineage: Eukaryota; Viridiplantae; Streptophyta; Magnoliopsida; Rosales; Rosaceae. The record is from RNAcentral.
CACACUUUUGGCCGACAAUCGUGGGUGACAAGGCCGCAUCCACACUACCAUUUGCUAUUGGGAAAUCACUAUAUAAUUCGACCUCCAUCCUCUAUGGAAAGACACACAUCCAAAACACUCUCCUUCCUUGCUAAACGCAUCUACAACCAAACAUUUCAACAUACUUAGUUUUCUUUCUCCCUGGAAACACCUCUUCAACUAAGUCAUAGCAGAGCAAAAGUAUCUCAUAUCACUAGGGUUGAAAGCAAGAGUAUCUCAUAGCACGAUUCCUCCCUAUCCUUUUCUUUGUCUUCGUUCUUCUUUGCAGGGCAAGGAGAAAGAGAGCAAUCAAUCGACACUUGAAAUCAACCUUUCAAUUUGGAACUGACUUCCUGGAAUCCCUUACCUAAUUGCUCACCUAGCAUUACUCUCCAGUACUCAUCUUCAACUAUUGAUGCACUGCCGAAAAAGAUACCAGAUGCCUGGAGAACAGAUGAGGCAAGUGAAAAUGAUGCAUCGAAGCAUGUGGAGACAAGCGCAACAAAUACAUGUGCUGAUCAUCCGCUACUUCUUCAAAAGCAAAAGUAUCUUAUAUUAUCAGGGUCGAAAGCAAAGGUAUCUCAUAUCAUGCUUUUCCCCUAUCUUUUCCUUUG